AAAUCAGUAUGGAAGUAAAGCUGAAGGAAGAGCUUAAAGCAGAAAUGUGUUCCUAUUGACAAGGCAACAAUUGAAUCAAACCAAACAGAGCAAAGAGUGGAGGAAAAUGGAAGAAGUCAUGGACAUAACAGAAAACAUAUGACCUAAUACCUAUUUUGAAUUCAUAUCAUCAGUGCAUCUAAAUUGGUCAAAAGAUGAAAGAUCUCAGCAUAAAUUGUUCAAUCAUGCAAAGCAUAUCCUGUCAAAUGAAGAUUACCCUCCCUUAAAGUGUCAAGUAUCUCAGAAAUUGGACUAUGCAAUACUGUACAGGAAUAUUUUACAUAUGUCAGCACAUUUAGCAAUAGGGCCUGUUGCACCAUGCCAAGGUACAAAGUUGAUGCUUCAAGCUGUCCACAGCAUUCCAAAGGAAAAGGAUGAAACGUUUUUUUAGCUCACCUGAGCCGAAGGCUCAAGUGAGCUUUUCUGAUCGAAAUUUGCCCGUUGU
Saccostrea echinata is the source of this 484-nucleotide long non-coding RNA. RefSeq lists it as uncharacterized. NCBI's taxonomy places the organism in Eukaryota, Metazoa, Mollusca, Bivalvia, Ostreida, Ostreidae. The record is from RefSeq and is a predicted model, not a curated record. The transcript has 4 exons.